RNAcentral lists this ribosomal RNA (1531 nucleotides) under Salmonella enterica. RNAcentral's name for it is "partial 16S ribosomal RNA". It matches the Rfam family "Bacterial small subunit ribosomal RNA". The record is from RNAcentral. RNAcentral also lists the same sequence under 1 other name. Lineage: Bacteria; Pseudomonadati; Pseudomonadota; Gammaproteobacteria; Enterobacterales; Enterobacteriaceae.
AAAUUGAAGAGUUUGAUCAUGGCUCAGAUUGAACGCUGGCGGCAGGCCUAACACAUGCAAGUCGAACGGUAACAGGAAGCAGCUUGCUGCUUUGCUGACGAGUGGCGGACGGGUGAGUAAUGUCUGGGAAACUGCCUGAUGGAGGGGGAUAACUACUGGAAACGGUGGCUAAUACCGCAUAACGUCGCAAGACCAAAGAGGGGGACCUUCGGGCCUCUUGCCAUCAGAUGUGCCCAGAUGGGAUUAGCUUGUUGGUGAGGUAACGGCUCACCAAGGCGACGAUCCCUAGCUGGUCUGAGAGGAUGACCAGCCACACUGGAACUGAGACACGGUCCAGACUCCUACGGGAGGCAGCAGUGGGGAAUAUUGCACAAUGGGCGCAAGCCUGAUGCAGCCAUGCCGCGUGUAUGAAGAAGGCCUUCGGGUUGUAAAGUACUUUCAGCGGGGAGGAAGGUGUUGUGGUUAAUAACCGCAGCAAUUGACGUUACCCGCAGAAGAAGCACCGGCUAACUCCGUGCCAGCAGCCGCGGUAAUACGGAGGGUGCAAGCGUUAAUCGGAAUUACUGGGCGUAAAGCGCACGCAGGCGGUCUGUCAAGUCGGAUGUGAAAUCCCCGGGCUCAACCUGGGAACUGCAUUCGAAACUGGCAGGCUUGAGUCUUGUAGAGGGGGGUAGAAUUCCAGGUGUAGCGGUGAAAUGCGUAGAGAUCUGGAGGAAUACCGGUGGCGAAGGCGGCCCCCUGGACAAAGACUGACGCUCAGGUGCGAAAGCGUGGGGAGCAAACAGGAUUAGAUACCCUGGUAGUCCACGCCGUAAACGAUGUCUACUUGGAGGUUGUGCCCUUGAGGCGUGGCUUCCGGAGCUAACGCGUUAAGUAGACCGCCUGGGGAGUACGGCCGCAAGGUUAAAACUCAAAUGAAUUGACGGGGGCCCGCACAAGCGGUGGAGCAUGUGGUUUAAUUCGAUGCAACGCGAAGAACCUUACCUGGUCUUGACAUCCACGGAAGAAUUCAGAGAUGGAUUUGUGCCUUCGGGAACCGUGAGACAGGUGCUGCAUGGCUGUCGUCAGCUCGUGUUGUGAAAUGUUGGGUUAAGUCCCGCAACGAGCGCAACCCUUAUCCUUUGUUGCCAGCGGUCCGGCCGGGAACUCAAAGGAGACUGCCAGUGAUAAACUGGAGGAAGGUGGGGAUGACGUCAAGUCAUCAUGGCCCUUACGACCAGGGCUACACACGUGCUACAAUGGCGCAUACAAAGAGAAGCGACCUCGCGAGAGCAAGCGGACCUCAUAAAGUGCGUCGUAGUCCGGAUUGGAGUCUGCAACUCGACUCCAUGAAGUCGGAAUCGCUAGUAAUCGUGGAUCAGAAUGCCACGGUGAAUACGUUCCCGGGCCUUGUACACACCGCCCGUCACACCAUGGGAGUGGGUUGCAAAAGAAGUAGGUAGCUUAACCUUCGGGAGGGCGCUUACCACUUUGUGAUUCAUGACUGGGGUGAAGUCGUAACAAGGUAACCGUAGGGGAACCUGCGGUUGGA